RNAcentral lists this ribosomal RNA (432 nucleotides) under uncultured bacterium. RNAcentral describes it as "bacterial SSU rRNA". It matches the Rfam family "Bacterial small subunit ribosomal RNA", at positions 338 to 769 of the family's 1533-position model. The record is from RNAcentral.
CCUACGGGGGGCAGCAGUGGGGAAUAUUGCACAAUGGGCGCAAGCCUGAUGCAGCGACGCCGCGUGCGGGAUGGAGGCCUUCGGGUUGUAAACCGCUUUUGUUCAAGGGCAAGGCACGGUUUUUGGCCGUGUUGAGUGGAUUGUUCGAAUAAGCACCGGCUAACUACGUGCCAGCAGCCGCGGUAAUACGUAGGGUGCAAGCGUUAUCCGGAUUUAUUGGGCGUAAAGGGCUCGUAGGCGGUUCGUCGCGUCCGGUGUGAAAGUCCAUCGCUUAACGGUGGAUCCGCGCCGGGUACGGGCGGGCUUGAGUGCGGUAGGGGAGACUGGAAUUCCCGGUGUAACGGUGGAAUGUGUAGAUAUCGGGAAGAACACCAAUGGCGAAGGCAGGUCUCUGGGCCGUUACUGACGCUGAGGAGCGAAAGCGUGGGGAGC